GAUGAACGCUAGCUACAGGCUUAACACAUGCAAGUCGAGGGGAAACGGCAUUGAGUGCUUGCACUCUUUGGACGUCGACCGGCGCACGGGUGAGUAACGCGUAUCCAACCUUCCCAUUACUGUGGGAUAACCUGCCGAAAGGCAGACUAAUACCGCAUAGUCUUCGAUGACGGCAUCAGAUUUGAAGUAAAGAUUUAUCGGUAAUGGAUGGGGAUGCGUCUGAUUAGCUUGUUGGCGGGGUAACGGCCCACCAAGGCAACGAUCAGUAGGGGUUCUGAGAGGAAGGUCCCCCACAUUGGAACUGAGACACGGUCCAAACUCCUACGGGAGGCAGCAGUGAGGAAUAUUGGUCAAUGGACGGAAGUCUGAACCAGCCAAGUAGCGUGCAGGAUGACGGCCCUAUGGGUUGUAAACUGCUUUUGUAUGGGGAUAAAGUUAGGGACGUGUCCCUAUUUGCAGGUACCAUACGAAUAAGGACCGGCUAAUUCCGUGCCAGCAGCCGCGGUAAUACGGAAGGUCCAGGCGUUUAUCCGGAUUUAUUGGGUUUAAAGGGAGCGUAGGCUGGAGAUUUAAGUGUGUUGUGAAAUGUAGACGCUCAACGUCUGAAUUGCAGCGCAUUACUGGUUUUCCUUGAGUACGCACAACGUUGGCGGAAUUCGUCGUGUAUGCGGGUGAAAUUGCUUAUAUAUGACGAAGAACUCCGAUUGCGAUGGCAGCUGACUGGAGCGCAACUGACGCUUAAGCUCGAAAGUGCGGGUAUCAAACAGG
Molecule: ribosomal RNA, 768 nt
Filed under: Prevotella melaninogenica
Lineage: Bacteria; Pseudomonadati; Bacteroidota; Bacteroidia; Bacteroidales; Prevotellaceae
Description: bacterial SSU rRNA
Rfam family: Bacterial small subunit ribosomal RNA
Source: RNAcentral